This 683-nucleotide ribosomal RNA is filed under the name uncultured Glomus. Its description in RNAcentral is "SSU rRNA". It matches the Rfam family "Eukaryotic small subunit ribosomal RNA", at positions 421 to 1098 of the family's 1831-position model. The record is from RNAcentral. Lineage: Eukaryota; Fungi; Glomeromycota; Glomeromycetes; Glomerales; Glomeraceae.
GAAGGCAGCAGGCGCGCAAAUUACCCAAUCCCGACACGGGGAGGUAGUGACAGUAAAUAACAAUACGGGGCUCUUUAGGGUCUCGUAAUUGGAAUAAGUACAAUUUAAAUCCCUUAACGAGGAACAAUUGGAGGGCAAGUCUGGUGCCAGCAGCCGCGGUAAUUCCAACUCCAAUAGCGUAUAUUAAAGUUGUUGCAGUUAAAAAGCUCGUAGUUGAAUUUCGGGAUUGGCGCAUCGGUCGUGCCUCACGGGGUAUGAACUGGUGCAGUCAAUUUCUCACCUUCUGGAGAACCGCGAUGUCCUUAAUUGGAUGCCGUGGGGAACCAGGACCUUUACUUUGAAAAAAUUAGAGUGUUUAAAGCAGGCAUUUUUGCUUGAAUACAUUAGCAUGGAAUAAUAAAAUAGGACGGCAUGGUUCUAUUUUGUUGGUUUCUAGGACCACCGUAAUGAUUAAUAGGGAUAGUUGGGGGCAUUAGUAUUCAAUUGUCAGAGGUGAAAUUCUUGGAUUUAUUGAAGACUAACUACUGCGAAAGCAUUUGCCAAGGAUGUUUUCAUUAAUCAAGAACGAAAGUUAGGGGAUCGAAGACGAUCAGAUACCGUCGUAGUCUUAACCAUAAACUAUGCCGACUAGGAAUCAGACGAUGUUAAUUUUUUAAUGACUCGUUUGGCACCUUACGGGAACA